Long non-coding RNA from Tyto alba (common barn owl), 950 nucleotides. RefSeq lists it as uncharacterized. The transcript has 3 exons. NCBI's taxonomy places the organism in Eukaryota, Metazoa, Chordata, Aves, Strigiformes, Tytonidae. The record is from RefSeq and is a predicted model, not a curated record.
UCCAAGUUACCUAAGAGUCUGCCGUAAUCUUGUGCGUGGUAAAAACUAAACCAAAAUGACUGAGCAUGCUUUCUCCUCUAAUUCAACUGAAAUGACACAAAUGACGUAUUGCAGCAUGUCACCAAGCUUUCCGAAGAUUCAUUGAUGUUGAUGGAUUAAAACAUAGUCAGAAGAAGCUUAAAAAGUUUGGCUCAUUUGGAUAUCCACACAGAAGACUUGGAAACAGAUAAUGAUUUUGUUAAUUUCUGCCACUCUUCAAGGUGCAGUGUCAAUGUCUAGUCAUCUCAGUGAGGUUAUGCACUAGCCUUAGGCAAACAAUGAAGAAAAUAAGUCAUUCAGCUAACUCAUGGAAACCAACAAACACCUCAAGUCUUCUGUAGUGGGCCAAGAAAAGGAGGCAAGCUGCAGUUGCCUCUGAUUUAUCAAAGGGCUGUAACUAGCUUCAAAAAGCUCAAUUACUUCCCUGUUCUCCUAUUGCCUGGGGGAGGUGCAACACCGACUGUGAAUUUCAUAGUCCCUGCCUUUCUGUUUCUGUUUGACAACAUUUUUGCAAUGAUGUGCAAAGAAUGUAGUAUCAUAGCUUUUAAACAUUUGCUAGAAUACAGCUUCCUCUAUCCAAGCUAACAGGAGAAGCUCCUCCAUCUCAAAUUUUAGCCAGCUCUCUAUUUUUAUAUGCACAUAAGGCACACUGUGAAAGCUGAGGAGAGAACACCUAUGGGGUUAUCUGUAGAUUCAAGUUUGAACAAGUCAGGCCAAUAAACUCCCUGUCAUUAACAAGCAUGCUGUAUGCAGUAAGGCAGGUUUUUCAUCAUUUACUGUUGUAAUUAAAGUUAGUUUUAGAUAAGAUCAUAUUGCCACUUUGACAGUGUUACCACUGUGCUAUCCUUUAUUGAUGCUAUUUGUAAGUGUCAAAUGUAAAUCCACUGAAUAAUAAUAAAAAAAUAAAUAAU